This 271-nucleotide ribosomal RNA is filed under the name uncultured prokaryote. Its description in RNAcentral is "partial 16S ribosomal RNA". It matches the Rfam family "Bacterial small subunit ribosomal RNA", at positions 524 to 798 of the family's 1533-position model. The record is from RNAcentral.
UACGUAGGGGCUAGCGUUGUCCGGAUUUAUUGGGCGUAAAGGGAGCGCAGGCGGUGACUUAAGUCUGAUGUGAAAGCCCACGGCUCAACCGUGGAAGGUCAUUGGAAACUGGGUCACUUGAAUAUAGAAGAGGAAGGUGGAAUUCCAGUGUAGCGGUGAAAUGCGUAGAGAUUAGGAGAACACCAGUGGCGAAGGCGAUUCUCUGGACUGUAACUGACGCUGAGGCUCGAAAGCGUGGGAGCAAACAGGAUUAGAUACCCGGGUAGUCCCU